RNAcentral lists this ribosomal RNA (253 nucleotides) under uncultured bacterium. Its description in RNAcentral is "partial 16S ribosomal RNA". It matches the Rfam family "Bacterial small subunit ribosomal RNA", at positions 524 to 776 of the family's 1533-position model. The record is from RNAcentral.
UACGAAGGGGGCUAGCGUUGCUCGGAAUCACUGGGUGUAAAGGGUGCGUAGGCGGGUCUUUAAGUCAGGGGUGAAAUCCUGGAGCUCAACUCCAGAACUGCCUUUGAUACUGAAGAUCUUGAGUUCGGGAGAGGUGAGUGGAACUGCGAGUGUAGAGGUGAAAUUCGUAGAUAUUCGCAAGAACACCAGUGGCGAAGGCGGCUCACUGGCCCGAUACUGACGCUGAGGCACGAAGGCCAGGGGAGCAAACGGG